This is a long non-coding RNA of Cynoglossus semilaevis (tongue sole), 440 nucleotides long. RefSeq lists it as uncharacterized. NCBI's taxonomy places the organism in Eukaryota, Metazoa, Chordata, Actinopteri, Pleuronectiformes, Cynoglossidae. The transcript has 3 exons. The record is from RefSeq and is a predicted model, not a curated record.
UGGGGUUUUUUUGUGAACCCUGAAGGCAUCUGUUUCCAUGUGACAAAUUACUUUCCAGCCAAUUGUGCUAUUGUAAACGUGAGCUACGAGUGACGUCCAUGAUUUUGCCUCAGAACUAUGAGCAUGAUUGGCUGAAUAAUUCGCUGUUCCUGCCCCACAAGACGUUCCAGUCGGUACUCAACAGUCGUCGAUCGACGAAAAUUCAAAGAAGAGGAAAGAAGGAAGAUUUGCUAAGGGAAAACGAAAAACCUUCGGGGAGGAGGAGGAGGCAAAAUAAGAUGGUGGAAAAACUUAAAAUUGACAGAUGACGUCAACGACCGCGGCCAUCUUUAAUAAUUUAGAAUAUGGUGGGCGUGUGCAGAAAAGGGUGGUCCUUACUCCUGUCGGAUGCUCUGGAUUUGGGGAAACUGAAGAUGAGCCACAGACUCAAUACAGGAAGA